Molecule: ribosomal RNA, 253 nt
Filed under: uncultured prokaryote
Description: partial 16S ribosomal RNA
Rfam family: Bacterial small subunit ribosomal RNA
Source: RNAcentral
UACAGAGGGUGCAAGCGUUGUUCGGAAUUAUUGGGCGUAAAGGGCGCGUAGGCGGUGCGGUAAGUCACCUGUGAAAUCUCCGGGCUUAACUCGGAGCCUGCAGGCGAAACUACCGUGCUGGAGUGUGGGAGAGGUGCGUGGAAUUCCCGGUGUAGCGGUGAAAUGCGUAGAUAUCGGAAGGAACACCAGUGGCGAAAGCGGCUUCCUGGACCAGUACUGACGUUCAUGUGCGAAAGCGUGGGGAGCAAACAGG